CUACCUUUGUUGCUUUGGCGGACCCGAGAGCCUCUCGCACCGACUCUUGGGCCGGCGAGUGUCCGCCAGAGGCCCAUUUAAUUCUAUUUAUCAGGGGAGUCCGAGUUCAAACACAAUGAAUAAAAACUUUCAACAACGGAUCUCUUGGUUCCAGCAUCGAUGAAGAACGCAGCGAAAUGCGAUAAGUAAUGUGAAUUGCAGAAUUCAGUGAAUCAUCGAAUCUUUGAACGCACAUUGCGCCCCUCGGCACUCCGGGGGGCAUGCCUGUUCGAGCGUCAUUGCACCCCUCAAGCGCAGCUUGGUAUUGGGCCCUCGCCCCCGCGGCGUGCCCGAAAACCAGUGGCGGUCUGGCGUGGCUUUAAGCGUAGUAAAAUCUUCCCGCUCUGAAGCACCCACCGUGGCCGGCCAGAGAACCCCAUUUACUUCUAUAAUUGACCUCGGAUCAGGUAGGGAUACCCGCUGAACUUAA
Molecule: ribosomal RNA, 469 nt
Filed under: Xanthoparmelia aff. subruginosa
Lineage: Eukaryota; Fungi; Ascomycota; Lecanoromycetes; Lecanorales; Parmeliaceae
Description: eukaryotic LSU rRNA
Rfam family: 5.8S ribosomal RNA (bases 125-278)
Source: RNAcentral